This is a non-coding RNA of Trichonephila clavipes, 72 nucleotides long. NCBI's taxonomy places the organism in Eukaryota, Metazoa, Arthropoda, Arachnida, Araneae, Nephilidae. The record is from the annotation of a GenBank genome assembly.
GUCCCAGUUUAGCAAUGAAUAGCGCAUUGGACUUUUAAUCCAAAGGUCGUGGCUCGAAUCCCACCUGGGAUG